This 405-nucleotide long non-coding RNA is filed under the name Androctonus crassicauda. Lineage: Eukaryota; Metazoa; Arthropoda; Arachnida; Scorpiones; Buthidae. The record is from RNAcentral.
GUUUGUUUUUUUUUUUUGAGUGUUUCUCAUGGUAUUCAUGUUGUUUGGGUGGCGUGGGACUCGUGCGUGGCCUUUGUUGUCCACCUCUUCUUUGUUUCUUUCUCUUGUCUGUCUCGUGUUUCUGUUUGGGUUUUGUUUUGUUUUUUCUUCUACUGAUUUUGUGAGGCCUCUUUUGUAUCCGUGUGUUUUGCCUAUUUUGUAUGUGUGCUCAAGUUCUUCUUUGGGCUUCUGAUCUGUCGUGCAGUAUUUGUGUGCUCUUCUGGAGGGUGCUCGAAGUGCGGCCUUUUUGUUCGGUGGUGGGUCUGGGGACCGGUUUGGUGUGGCGACCGGUUGGUGUGGUGGUUUUCUGUGGACCGCUGUUGUUGGGGUGUUGUUGUUGAUAGUUGUUUCGAUGUCGAGAUGUCC